This 731-nucleotide ribosomal RNA is filed under the name Lactobacillus delbrueckii subsp. bulgaricus. RNAcentral describes it as "bacterial SSU rRNA". It matches the Rfam family "Bacterial small subunit ribosomal RNA", at positions 36 to 736 of the family's 1533-position model. The record is from RNAcentral. Lineage: Bacteria; Bacillati; Bacillota; Bacilli; Lactobacillales; Lactobacillaceae.
CUGGCGGCGUGCCUAAUACAUGCAAGUCGAGCGAGCUGAAUUCAAAGAUUCCUUCGGGAUGAUUUGUUGGACGCUAGCGGCGGAUGGGUGAGUAACACGUGGGCAAUCUGCCCUAAAGACUGGGAUACCACUUGGAAACAGGUGCUAAUACCGGAUAACAACAUGAAUCGCAUGAUUCAAGUUUGAAAGGCGGCGUAAGCUGUCACUUUAGGAUGAGCCCGCGGCGCAUUAGCUAGUUGGUGGGGUAAAGGCCUACCAAGGCAAUGAUGCGUAGCCGAGUUGAGAGACUGAUCGGCCACAUUGGGACUGAGACACGGCCCAAACUCCUACGGGAGGCAGCAGUAGGGAAUCUUCCACAAUGGACGCAAGUCUGAUGGAGCAACGCCGCGUGAGUGAAGAAGGUUUUCGGAUCGUAAAGCUCUGUUGUUGGUGAAGAAGGAUAGAGGCAGUAACUGGUCUUUAUUUGACGGUAAUCAACCAGAAAGUCACGGCUAACUACGUGCCAGCAGCCGCGGUAAUACGUAGGUGGCAAGCGUUGUCCGGAUUUAUUGGGCGUAAAGCGAGCGCAGGCGGAAUGAUAAGUCUGAUGUGAAAGCCCACGGCUCAACCGUGGAACUGCAUCGGAAACUGUCAUUCUUGAGUGCAGAAGAGGAGAGUGGAAUUCCAUGUGUAGCGGUGGAAUGCGUAGAUAUAUGGAAGAACACCAGUGGCGAAGGCGGCUCUCUGGUCUG